Long non-coding RNA from Nicotiana tabacum (common tobacco), 716 nucleotides. RefSeq lists it as uncharacterized. NCBI's taxonomy places the organism in Eukaryota, Viridiplantae, Streptophyta, Magnoliopsida, Solanales, Solanaceae. The record is from RefSeq and is a predicted model, not a curated record.
UUUAAUUAAGUUCCAUCCCUUUUCCUCUCCCAUGUCACUUUCAAUCUCUGCCAUCUUCACUUUUCCUCCAUUUUUUGGCCAAUUCUUGACUUUCAAAUCCCUGCGUGCUGGAGCAUAUCCCACCAUUUUCGGGUGUAACCUGAAGCAUAUCACUAAAGAAUCCCGAAGAUCGAAUCCAUCAAAACAAAAAAUUUCAACGUUAAAAUUCAAACGAUCCAUUUGAUUUCUUUUGAAAUUUGAACUUUCAAGUUCCCGCUCAAAGGAACCAAGAACCUUAAUUUUACACCUAUAAAUACCAGAAUUUAUGGCUAUUUUCAGCAGCCAUAACAGGGCCUUUAUUUUGUUUGUGUCGGAGUUCGAUGAUUAUCUGAAGUAGCCAAAUCCGAGGUCGAAAAUAGUAGAUUUAGUUGACACGCCCCAGUUCCUGCGCCACAAAAGUAUGAGUCUUAUUGCAUGACUCAACCCAUACCUGCACGGAGUCAUUACUAUUGAGCCUUAGACUAUGAUGGAUAUCUAUAAGAAGAACAAGCAAAGCUUGGGUCGCUUAUGGUGGCCUUUGUGAUUUACAUUUUACUCUAUUUCGAAUUUUCAAUUAAUUUGAUUAUAUUCUUUUGAUUAGUUUAGUUCUAUACUUAACUUGGGAUUGUUGAUUUACUUUGACCUCUUCACUUAGUAUUCUCACUUAGUUAUUGGCAGAUAUUAUCUAUUUUAUUUAA